UACGUAGGGUGCAAGCGUUGUCCGGAAUCAUUGGGCGUAAAGAGCGUGUAGGCGGCCCCAUCAGUCCGCUGUGAAAGUCCAGGGCUCAACCCUGGGAUGCCGGUGGAUACUGUCGAGCUCGAGUCCGGAAGAGGCGAGUGGAAUUCCUGGUGUAGCGGUGAAAUGCGCAGAUAUCAGGAGGAACACCAAUGGCGAAGGCAGCUCGCUGGGACGUGACUGACGCUGAGACGCGAAAGCGUGGGGAGCAAACAGG
This 253-nucleotide ribosomal RNA is filed under the name uncultured bacterium. RNAcentral's name for it is "partial 16S ribosomal RNA". It matches the Rfam family "Bacterial small subunit ribosomal RNA", at positions 524 to 776 of the family's 1533-position model. The record is from RNAcentral.